This 440-nucleotide ribosomal RNA is filed under the name uncultured bacterium. Its description in RNAcentral is "bacterial SSU rRNA". It matches the Rfam family "Bacterial small subunit ribosomal RNA", at positions 338 to 772 of the family's 1533-position model. The record is from RNAcentral.
CCUACGGGAGGCAGCAGUCGGGAAUUUUGGGCAAUGGGCGAAAGCCUGACCCAGCAACGCCGCGUGAAGGAUGAAAUCCCUCGGGAUGUAAACUUCGCAAGAACGGGAAGAAUAAGUAAGGGUUAAUAUCUCUUACGAUGACGGUACUGUUUGUAAGCUCCGGCUAACUCCGUGCCAGCAGCCGCGGUAAUACGGGGGGAGCAAGCGUUGUUCGGAUUUACUGGGCGUAAAGGGCGCGUAGGCGGCCUCUGCAAGUCGACUGUGAAAUCUCCGGGCUUAACCCGGAACGGUCAGCCGAUACUGCAGGGCUAGAGUGCAGAAGGGGCAACUGGAAUUCUCGGUGUAGCGGUGAAAUGCGUAGAUAUCGAGAGGAACACCUGCGGCGAAGGCGGGUUGCUGGGCUGACACUGACGCUGAUGCGCGAAAGCUAGGGGAGCGAA